RNAcentral lists this ribosomal RNA (590 nucleotides) under uncultured delta proteobacterium. RNAcentral's name for it is "bacterial SSU rRNA". It matches the Rfam family "Bacterial small subunit ribosomal RNA", at positions 335 to 915 of the family's 1533-position model. Lineage: Bacteria; Deltaproteobacteria. The record is from RNAcentral.
ACUCCUACGGGAGGCAGCAGUGGGGAAUCUUGCGCAAUGGGCGAAAGCCUGACGCAGCAACGCCGCGUGAGUGAUGAAGGUCUUCGGAUCGUAAAGCUCUGUCGGAGGGGACAAGGCUUUCAUCUGCUAAUAGUAGAUGGAGGUGAUGGUACCCUUAAAGGAAGCACCGGCUAACUCUGUGCCAGCAGCCGCGGUAAUACAGAGGGUGCAAGCGUUGUUCGGAAUUAUUGGGCGUAAAGGGAGUGUAGGCGGUUUUUUAAGUCUUCUGUGAAAUCUACGGGCUAAACCUGUAACGUGCAGAAGAAACUGGAGAGCUUGAGUGUUGGAGAGGAUAGUGGAAUUCCCGGUGUAGAGGUGAAAUUCGUAGAGAUCGGGAGGAACACCAGUGGCGAAGGCGACUAUCUGGCUGACAACUGACGCUGAGACUCGAAAGCAUGGGGAGCAAACAGGAUUAGAUACCCUGGUAGUCCAUGCCGUAAACGAUGAUAACUAGAUGUGUGAGGUAUUGACCCCUUACGUGUCGUAGCUAACGCGAUAAGUUAUCCGCCUGGGGAGUACGGUCGCAAGAUUAAAACUCAAAGGAAUUGACG